ACCUGGCCUGGACUGAAACACCAUGUCAAGCUCUUCGUGGAGGCAUGCCAGAUAUGCAAGCAGGCCAAGCCGGAACGGGUUCGUUACCCCGGCCUCCUGGAGCCACUCCCGGUACCCACCCAAGCAUGGCAGAUGAUCACAAUGGAUUUCGUGGAGGGCCUUCCCCGCUCCUCUGGCUGCAACUCCAUCUUAGUGGUUGUGGACAAGUUCUCUCGCUAUGCCCAUUUCAUCGCCUUAUCCCACCCAUUCACAGCCUUCCAAGUGGCGCAGGCGUUUGUGGCUCACAUCUACAAGCUCCAUGGGCUGCCCGAGUCCAUUGUCUCUGACCGGGAUCCAGUUUUCACGAGCACCCUGUGGAAGGAACUGUUCCGUCUCACUCAUACCAAGCUGCGGAUGAGCACGGCGCGCCACCCGCAAACGGACGGACAA
Molecule: ribosomal RNA, 429 nt
Filed under: Triticum aestivum (bread wheat)
Lineage: Eukaryota; Viridiplantae; Streptophyta; Magnoliopsida; Poales; Poaceae
Description: partial small subunit ribosomal RNA
Source: RNAcentral